GCCGGAUUAGCUCAGUUGGCAGAGCCUUCGUCCUGGGGAAGAGACAGCGGUUCGAUUCCGCUAUCCGGCACUA
Molecule: transfer RNA, 73 nt
Filed under: Breznakibacter xylanolyticus
Lineage: Bacteria; Pseudomonadati; Bacteroidota; Bacteroidia; Marinilabiliales; Marinilabiliaceae
Description: Cytophaga xylanolytica tRNA-Arg
Rfam family: tRNA
About the family: Transfer RNA (tRNA) molecules are approximately 80 nucleotides in length. Their secondary structure includes four short double-helical elements and three loops (D, anti-codon, and T loops).
Source: RNAcentral